Molecule: non-coding RNA, 6657 nt
Organism: Callithrix jacchus (white-tufted-ear marmoset)
Lineage: Eukaryota; Metazoa; Chordata; Mammalia; Primates; Cebidae
Source: RefSeq, a predicted model, not a curated record
UAAAACCAGAGGUCUUGUUAAUGCUAAUGUGGUAUCCUGCUUGUCAGGGUGCAGCAGUAAGCACGUGGUAGAUGUUUUCAAAACAAAUACAAAUAGGUUGACUUUUAAAAUCUAUCUGGAAAGAUUUCACAGAAAAAUGGGACUUAGAUUUUAGAGCUCAGUUUCACCAGAACUCUUCAGAGUUUUAAUUGAGAUUUAUCACUGCCAACCUUUGUUGCUCUCCCAAAUAAGUCCUAACUACUCAUCUCCCUUGGGCUCUUGUGAUAUUUCCUUAGGAUAAAUGUCUAAGUUAUUUUUAAUGAAUCCUACUGAAUAUAAGAUUACCUACUUUGCCUGUAAUCCCAGCACUCUGAGAGGCCAUGGUGGGUGGAUAGUUUGAAUUCAGGAGUUUGCGACCAGUCUGGGCAACAUGGCAAACCCCAUCUCUACUAAAAAUAUAAAAAUUAGCCAGGCAUGGUGGCGCACACCUGUAAUCCCAGCUAUUUAGGUGGCUGAGGCAGGAGAAUUGCUUGAACCCUGAAGGCAGAGACUGCAGUGAGCUGAAAUCACACCACUGCACGCCACCCUGUAUGACAGAGUGAGACCCUGUCUCAAAAAAAAAAAAAAUUGCCUACUUUAUAAAUGUUUAUGUAUGUUUUAUAAAUGCAACAUACACUGGGCAACCCCUCUUCUGUGAACAUCAGCUCCUGUGACUUCACCCUCGGGUUUCCUUUCAUAAAUCUCUGACUACUUCCUGGUCUCUUUUACAGCAUCCCAUUCCUCUGCCCACAUCUUUAAUGUUAAGCUUCCCCAAGGUUCCAUCUUGGACCCCAUUUUCCAUGGGUGUAAUCUCACCUGUCUCCCCUAUUUGUUACCAUUUAUAUGAUGGUAGCUCUCAAAUUGUUACUGUUGCUCAGAUGUAUCCUAGACUGAUUUAUCCUCUUGCUAACUGGUCUGUUUCUAACAUUGCCUUCUGUACAUAAAAUUCCCUCAGUGUCACCAGAAUAUUUUUGUUUUUAAAUUCUAAUAGCACGUAAUAUAGAAAAAAAUAUAAUGUAUGAACAAGCAUUAUCAUUAAAUAUGGGGGAGGAGAGACUACAAGACACCGCAAAGAAGCAAUUCACCAAACCCAAAAUAUGGAACAUUCUAUAGGACAAAUGAUGGGGUUUCUUCAACAAAUGGAAGGAAGGAGGGAAAACCAUGGUGGAUAAUUUUUUGUUUUGAGACAGAGUCUCCCUCUGUUGCCCAGGCUGGAGUCCAGUGGUGUAAUCUUGGCUCACUGCAACCUCCACCUCUCAGGUUCAAGCGAUUCUCCUGCCUCAGCCUCCCAAGUAGCUGAGAUUACAGGCCUGCAUCACCACAUCCAGAUAGUUUUGUAUUUUGAGUAGAGACAGGGUUUCGCCAUGUUGGUCAUGCUGGUCUCAAACUCCUGACCUCAGGUGAUCCAGCCACCUCAGCCUCCCAAAGUGCUGGGAUUACAGGCAUGAGCCACUGCGUUCGGCCAACAAAAAUAAAUUUAAGUGACAACUAAAAGGCAACAUAUAAAUCUUGUUUGAAUCCUCACUCAAUCCAGCAAUAAAAAGGAAUAUUUGGAACUAUUGAGAAAUUUAAAUAUGGACUAGGUAUGAAGUAAGGAAUUAUUACUGAUUUUCAUAGUUGUAAUAAAAGCAUCAUGAUUAUGUAAAAAAAAAGACUAUGUUAGAAAUGCAUACUGGUAUGUAAAUGAGAUGAGAAUGAAAAAAUGUUAGUAAUCAUAACUAGCUGUUCAUUAUUGUUCUUUAUAUAUUUGAAAUUUUUCUUCAUAAAAAGUAAAAAAUGAGGCUGGAUGUGGUGGCUUAUGCCUGUAAUCCAGCACUUUGGGAGGCCAAGGCGGGUGAAUCACAAGGUCAGGAGUUCAAGACCAGCCUCACCAACAUGGUGAAACUCCGUCUCUACUAAAAAUAUAAAAUAUAGCUGGGUGUGGUGGUACGUCCUUGUAAUCCCAGCUACUCAAGAGGCUGAGGCAGGAGAAUGGCUUGAACCUGGGAGGCAGAGGUUGCAGUGAGCCAAGAUCACGCCAUGGCACUCCAGCCUAGCAAGACUCUUGUCUCAAAAAAAAAAAAAGUAAAAAAUGAAAGGGCAGUUCAACUAAAAAGGAAAAAAUAAAAAUAAGGGAGAAAAAAAAAUCUUACCAUCCUGGGAAUUUUUGUUUACAGAACCAAAGGCUAUCUGGUGAAAGUCCUUGACUCCAGCAAUCAAUCCUGGCAACAAGUCUGAGUUUAUCUCAUGCACACGUCCUCUGUUUCUCUGCAAUACAUAUGAAGCCCUCAAACAGCUUCCUAAGGACAGGAAGUUGGGGUUUUUCUGUUUAAAGCACUGAUUCUUAGCAGCACUACCCUGCAGUGAGAUGGCAGAGUCAUCCAUUGCUGCCAUCAAACCACAACUUACCAAGCUAAUGGUCAAAUUGCCUGUGUCCCACUAAUGUUAGUAAUAAAGCAGCUAGCUACAAUUUUAGAUCAGUGGAAACCCCUUGCUUGACCAUAAACCCUGAGCUUCUGGGGACCAUUUGUACCUUUGCCAUUGUCAAAAACAAGUGAUUAGCAUGGCACCUGGCCCCAGUAAGCACUGAUGUUUAAUUGAACAGACAUCCUUAGAGGAAAGGGGCCAUGGUCAUUUGAAAGUCACUGAAUUUGGUUUAUAAAUUGUGCUAAGAAGCCGGGCUCAUGGUGCCCCUGUAGUCUCAGCUGCUGGGGAGGCUGAGGGAGGAGGAUUCAUGGAGCCAAGGAGUUCAAGGCUUCAGUGUGCUACGGAGUGCAUAUGAAUAGCCGUUGCACUCCAGCCUGGGCAACAUAGCAAGACCCCACCUCUGAAAAAAAAUUGUGCUAACAGAUUAUGGAAACAAGUUUAAGAUGACUUCCCAAAGAUACUAUUCCUUUUCCAGUCACUAGAAUUGUGGUUAUUGGGAAAAGUUACACAGAUAAAAGCAAGCGCAGGAAUAAUAGAAGCUCAAAGCAUCAAGUAAGAUUGGAAUAGAAAAAUUGUGGUUUCCCUCAGACCCUUGUUUAACACAGUAUUUUUUUUUAAAGAGCAACUUUUCCCUACCCCUCUUUUUAUCCUUUCCCUUUACAUUAUCUUCAAUGAUAGUUCUUGCUAAUUCUCGGGAGUCCACAACACUGCAGAAUGUCAGGGAGCUAGCAAACUCGAAAUCUCUAAUUCCUAAGGCUGUGUCGGUGACAUGUAAUAUACCGGUCCCUACAUGUCCCCUCCUUUGUCUAAAAGUAAAACUUUAGUAAAUGUUGACAUUUAAUUUUCCAGAGUGUUAAUGAGUAGUUUCUAAUUCUAAGUUUCUACCCCAUCUUAAUGUGAGAAUUAGUGAAAUAAAUCACAUUAAACCAUUUUUUAAUUUUGGGGGCAAAAACAGGAUGAAAACAUGAGGUAUUGCUACUUGAUUUGGUAAACACCCGGGAGGCAGAUGUUGUAGUGAGAUCACGCCCCUGCACUCCAGUCAGGGUGACAGAGCAAGACUCUGUCUCAAAAUAAAUAAACAAAUAAAUAAAAAUAAAAAAUGAAAGGGCGAAAACCUUGUUUCUUGUUAAACCUUGUUUCUUGCAGGAGUUUUGGGCCAAAGACCAUAAUAAAACAAACUCAGGAGCUUAUUUCAAGAGAAUACUCUCCCUGUCCCAUACCUGUCCUUACUACUUUGUUUUGUGUGCUGUUGUAAGCUCCUCGACCAUCUGACCUGGACAGUUUCAGCUAUUUGGCUUUAUCCAUUCUCAUUUAGUGUGCAAUGCUAUGGCUGCAACAUUGUGAAAUCAAUUCCAAGAAGUCACAAAGCAAGAAUUUGAUGUGAAGGGAUGUCCUUCAUUUAGAGUUCCCUUCAGGAUAAGAUACUGGAGGUUUCAUUGCAGGGAAUUUUAGAGAGAAAACAAUAGGAGGAUGAGGGAUUUUGAGGGUUUUUUUUUUUCCCUAAAGAAAACUAUCAAUAAAGGAACCCUGUUGACAGUGUAAAGCAGUGCUUCUCUCUGGGGCCAAGGCCAGAGCUGUGGACACCUUAUCCCACUCAUCCUCAUCCUCUUCCUCUGAUAACACCCCUACCAGCGCUGAUAAAGUCUUUCUCAUGAGAGCCUAGAGGCCUUUAAAAAAAAAGUGCUUGAAGGAGAAGGGGACAAAGGAACACCAGUAUUAAGAGGAUUUUCCAGUGUGUUUCUGGCGGUUGGUCCAGAAGGAUGACGCCGUUCCUGUUUCUCAUCUGUCUCUUCAUCACAGGCACCUCCAUGUCGCCCGUGGCCCUAGAUCCGUGUUUCGCUUACAUCAGCCUGAAUGAGCCCUGGAGGAACACUGACCACCAAUUGGAUGAGUCUCAAGGUUCUCCUCUGUGUGACAACCAUGUGGAUGGGGAGUGGUACCGCUUCACGGGUAUGGCAGGAGAUGCCAUGCCCACCUUCUGCAUACCAGAAAACCACUGUGGAACCCACGCACCUGUCUGGCUCAAUGGCAGCCACCCCCUAGAAGGUGAUGGCAUUGUGCAACGCCAGGCUUGUGCCAGCUUCAAUGGGAACUGCUGCCUCUGGAAUACCACGGUGGAGGUCAAGUCUUGCCCUGGAGGCUACUAUGUGUAUCGUCUGACCAAGCCCAGUGUCUGCUUCCAUGUCUACUGUGGUCAUUUUUAUGACAUCUGCGACGAGGACUGCCAUGACAGCUGCUCAGAUACCAGUGAGUGCACCUGCGCUCCAGGAACCGUGCUAGGUCCUGACAGGCAGACAUGCUUUGAUGAAAAUGAAUGUGAGCAAAACAAUGGUGGCUGCAGUGAGAUCUGUGUGAACCUCAAAAACUCCUACCGCUGUGAGUGUGGGGUUGGCCGUGUGCUAAGAAGUGAUGGCAAGACUUGUGAAGACAUUGAAGGAUGCCACAAUAACAAUGGUGGCUGCAGCCACUCUUGCCUUGGAUCUGAGAGAGGCUACCAGUGCGAAUGUCCCCGCGGCCUGGUGCUGUCUGAGGAUAACUGCACUUGCCAAGUCCCUGUGUUGUGCAAAUCGAAUGCCAUUGAAAUGAGCAUCCCCAGGGAGCUGGUUGGUGGCCUGGAGCUCUUCCUGACCAACACCUCCUGCCGAGGAGUGUCCAACGGCACCCACGUCAACAUCCUCUUCUCUCUCAAGACGUGUGGUACAGUGGUUGAUGUGGUGAAUGACAAGAUCGUGGCCAGCAACCUUGUGACAGGUCUACCCAAGCAGACCCCGGGGAGCAGCGGGGACUUCAUCAUCCGAACCAGCAAGCUGCUGAUCCCGGUGACCUGCGAGUUUCCACGCCUGUACACCAUUUCUGAAGGAUACGUUCCCAACCUUCGAAACUCCCCGCUGGAAAUCAUGAGCCGAAAUCAUGGGAUCUUCCCAUUCACUCUGGAGAUCUUCAAGGACGAUGAGUUUGAGGAACCUUACCGGGAAGCUUUGCCCACCCUCAAGCUUCGUGACUCCCUCUACUUUGGCAUCGAGCCUCUGGUGCACGUGAGCAGCUUGGAAAGCUUGGUGGAGAGCUGCUUUGCCACCCCCACCUCCAAGAUUGACGAGGUCCUGAAAUACUACCUCAUCCGGGAUGGCUGUGUUUCAGAUGACUCUGUAAAGCAGUACACAUCCCGGGAUCACCUCGCAAAGCACUUCCAGGUCCCCGUCUUCAAAUUUGUGGGCAAAAACCACAAGGAAGUGUUUCUGCACUGCCGGGUUCUUGUCUGUGGAGUGCUGGACGAACGUUCCCGCUGUGCCCAGGGUUGCCACCGGCGUAUGCGUCGUGGGGCAGGAGGAGAGGACUCAGCCAGUCUACAGAGCCAGAUGCUAACAGGUGGCCCAAUCCACAUCGACUGGGAGGACUAGUUUGUGGCCACACCUGUGUUGGGUCACUGAGUCCGUGUUGGGCGGCUCUGCUCUUUGGAGCUUCUCCCCACGCCCUCCAAGAACCUAAGUUCAAACUUCAUACUCUUCCCUGUCUGUGGCCAUACCACCUGGAACACGCCCAAUCUUGCCUAUAGCUUUCCCUGUUCAAGUAUUGGAUGAACAACCAUUCACUGAUGGAAAAACAUUUGCAUGUGUUGGAUAUGUUGGUUAGCCACUGUCUUAGGAGCCAACGAUAUGGAGACAAAAGACAUCAUCCUCAAUUCAAGGACUCCACAGUUCGGAUAAAGAGGUGGACAGGUAAACAGAUAGCUACACUACCUCAUGAUGAAAGUAAGCCCAAGGUGGUAUGGGAGCCCAUAGAAAGGGUCUCUAUCCCUUUGCAGCAAGGGUUAUUAGGGGAGGUAUCUUAGAGGAAGUAAGAUAUAUAAGCUUAAACUUCAAGAAUGGUCAGGAAAAUUAAGUACUUAUGCAUACUAAAACAUGGAAGAAUUUUGAAAACAUUAUGCUAAGCAAAAGAAGCCAGACACAAAAGGCCACAUAUUGUAUGAUUCCAUUUAUAGAAAAUAUCCAGAAUAGGCAAUCCAUAUAGAGAGUAAAAUAGUGGUUGUUUAGGGCUAGGGUGGGGUAGGGGAGGUAAUGAGUAGUGACUGCUAAUGGCUACAGGGUUUCUUUUGGGGCUAAUGAAAAUGUUCUGGAAUUAGAUUGUGGUGAUGGUUGCACAAUUCUGUGAAUAUACAAAAACCACUGAAGUGUAUACUUUUAAAGGGUACAUUUGAUGGUAUGUAAAUAAUGUAUCAAUUUUUUAAUUUUUUUA